GUUUCAGGUAUUGUACCGGAGGAUUGGAGAAAGGCAGAUGUCAUUCUAAAAAGGGUUAAAAACCAUUGCCUGGAAAUUAUAAACCUGUGAGCUUAACUUCUGUGACUGGGUAAAUAUUUGAAGGGCUAUUAAGGGAUGAUAUUCAGGAAUUCAUUGGGAAGAACUUUGUUAUUAGCAACAAUCAGCAUGGUUUUAUCAAACAUAGGUCUUGCCAAACUAACCUGAUUGCAUUCUACGAAGAAGUAUGUAGACGUAUAGAUCAGGGUGUUGCAGUAGUACUUUUUUUGCAAGUUUCCCAACAAGGAUGACACCC
Pelobates cultripes (western spadefoot toad) is the source of this 313-nucleotide non-coding RNA. The record is from the annotation of a GenBank genome assembly. Lineage: Eukaryota; Metazoa; Chordata; Amphibia; Anura; Pelobatidae.